RNAcentral lists this ribosomal RNA (1838 nucleotides) under Thalassoplanella collaris. Its description in RNAcentral is "SSU rRNA". It matches the Rfam family "Eukaryotic small subunit ribosomal RNA". Lineage: Eukaryota; Metazoa; Platyhelminthes; Rhabdocoela; Byrsophlebidae. The record is from RNAcentral.
CCUGGUUUGAUCCUGCCAGUAAUUAUAUGCUUGUCUCAAAGAUUAAGCCAUGCAUGUACUAGUUCACACCUUAAAACGGUGAAACCGCAAAUGGCUCAUUAAAUCAGCUAUAAUUUCUUGGAUCUUAAAAUUCUACUUGGAUAACUGUAGUAAUUCUAGAGCUAAUACAUGAAACUAUGCCUCAGCUUGCUGGGUGCGGAUUUAUUAGAACAAAACUAACUGCCUUCGGGUUUGGUUUUUGGUGACUCUGGAUAACUUACCUGAUCGCAUGACCUUGUGUCGGCGACGUAUCUUUCAAGUGUCUGACCUAUCAACUGACGUUGGUAAGUUAAAUGCUUACCAUGGUUAUAACGGGUAACGGGGAAUCAGGGUUCGACUCCGGAGAGGGAGCCUUAGAAACGGCUACCACAUCUAAGGAAGGCAGCAGGCGCGCAAAUUACCCACUCUCAGCUCGAGGAGGUAGUGACAAUAAAUAACAAUGCGGGACUCAUAAUGAGGCUCCGCAAUUGGAAUGAGUACAAUUUAAAUCCUUUAACGAGGAUCAAUUGGAGGGCAAGUCUGGUGCCAGCAGCCGCGGUAAUUCCAGCUCCAAUAGCGUAUAUUAAAAUUGUUGCAGUUAAAAAGCUCGUAGUUGGAUCUCAGGUUUGGUAUGUCGGUCUGGUCGUUGUACCAUGACUGUGCAUAUCAGCCUUUAUUAGCUGUCAGAUGCUCCAUGGUGUUCUUAAUUGAAUGCUAUGUGAGUGCUCGGCACGUUUACCUUGAAAAAAUCAGAGUGCUUAAAGCAGGCCUUUGUGCUUGUAUGUUAUUGCAUGGAAUAAUGGAAUAGGACUUCUGUAGUCUUAUUUUGUUGGUUUCCGGUAUGGAAGUAAUGAAAAAUAGAGACAGACGGGGCCAUUUGUAUGGUGGCGGGAGAGGUGAAAUUCUGAGAUCGCCGCCAGACAAACUACUGCGAAAGCAUUUGGCAAGCAUGUCUUCAUUAAUCAAGAACGAAAGUCAGAGGUUCGAAGACGAUCAGAUACCGUCCUAGUUCUGACCAUAAACGAUGCCGACCGGUAAUCAGGGGUGGUUUUUUUUUAUUGACCCUCCUGGUUGCCCCUGGGAAACCUCUUAGUCAGGUUCUGGGGGGAAUAUGGUCUCAAGGCCGAAACUUAAAGGAAUUGACGGAAGGGCACCACCAGGAGUGGAUCCUGCGGCUUAAUUUGACUCAACACGGGGAAUCUCACCCGGUCCGGACACUAGGAGGAUUGACAGAUUGAUAGCUCUUUCAUAAUUCAGUGGGUGGUGGUGCAUGGCCGUUCUUAGUUGGUGGAGUGAUUUGUCUGGUUAAUUCCGAUAACGAACGAGACUCCAACCUGCUAAAUAGUUGAAAAGCAUCGGUUGCUGGAGUCAAAUCCAGUGGCUACAGUUUUUCCUAACUUCUUAGAGGAAUUCGCGGAACUAUAAACCGCACGAAAGAGAGCAAUAACAGGUCUGUGAUGCCCUUAGAUGUCCGGGGCCGCACGCGCGAUACAUUGACAGUAACAAAAAGUAUUUCCACCUGGUCCGAAAGGAUUGGGAAAUCUUUGAAUUACUGUCUCCACAGGGAUUGGGGUUUGUAAUUAUCCCCCAUGAACGAGGAAUUCCUAGUAGGCGCAAGUCAUCAGCUUGCGUCGAUUACGUCCCUGCCCUUUGUACACACCGCCCGUCGCUACUACCGAUCGAGUGGAUUAGUGAGGACCUCGGAUUGACAGUUUAGCGGCGCAAGCCGUUUUAUUGUCGAAAAGUGGUUCAAACUUGUUCAUUUAGAGGAAGUAAAAGUCGUAACAAGGUUUCCGUAGGUGAACCUGCAGAUGGAUCAA